This is a long non-coding RNA of Bos taurus (domestic cattle), 654 nucleotides long. The record is from Ensembl. NCBI's taxonomy places the organism in Eukaryota, Metazoa, Chordata, Mammalia, Artiodactyla, Bovidae.
GAACUAUUCUCUCCAUUGACGGAUGAGGAAGCAGAGGCCCAGAGAAGUUAAGCAACCUGCCUGAAAUCUCCCGGCUUCUAAGAGGGCAGUGUCAGGACAAGUUCAGCUGGGCCCCCUGCCUGACCAGACAGUGGAGAAGUCCACCCUCUAGGUCCACUAGCCCCAGGGAGAGAUAUAGGAGUGGGGGUGGGAACAGCAGGGAGGUAUCCUAAUCAAGGGCGAGGCCGGAAAUACAGAAAGCUGGGUUUUUCAGCUGCAGAUUUGACAGGAAUGUGAAGCCGUAGGAACCGGGCGGACUUGCUGCUUUCCUAAUCCACUGCCUUCUGGAAAAGUCGGGAAAGUUGCUGGUCAGACUUUGGAUUCUUGACUAAAAAGAACAUACAACUUCAGAGUUAGUUCCUCUUCUUGGGCUCCAAAAUCUCUGUGGAUGGCAACUGCAGCCAUGAACGUGGAAGACAACUGCUUCUUGGCAGGAAAGCAGAGUCAGACAGGACUGGGCAACUGAACAGCAACUUUUCUUUAGGCCAAUUAGAUCAGAGCUCAUUUACAAACUAAUCUCAGCAAUCAGCAAUAUUAUCCAAAGACAAAGACAUAUACCGAGACAUACAUGUAUUCAAAUAGACACAAGAGAUCUCAGCUUUGCUUUCCUAACUU